CCACGUGAAUUCAUGGUUGCACUACUUUUUAUUAAUUUUGUACGCUCUUCUGAAUGCUAUCCAUUGAUGUAGUUUGAACUGAAGAGUCAGUUUGCUUACAUUUGUAUAUUGAUAUCUUCCUUGCCAAUUGCCAUGCUUAUAGCUGGUUGGUAUGAAUCGAUCCUGAAUCUACCAAACAACAAGUUGUGACUUUUUCUUAGCUCUCUGCAGCUGUUCCUUCGAUGUCUGACUACACAGGGAGUUGCAUUAGCAAUGAUUUCUACUUACCGUUUCAUUCAAUCUUUAAUCUACCUUCAUGUUGUAAAGUAUCUCUGCAAUCAUAGUGCUCUCAUUGGACUACAAUCCCUUGCCUUGCAAGAAAUGUCUGCGUCUUCCACAUGGGCUCAUUUAAGAUUUGCCAUGUGAUUUUAAUAAAUUGGUUCCCUUUUAUGUGGGGAGAUCUGGUAGUAAGUUGAAUCUUAAUGUACCCACGCAGCUCUAUAAAUUAAAUUAUAUGCUUACGGGAGUUAUCUUGCAUCAGGCAUUACAAGAAGCCCUUGUUAUGAUGGCACAAAGGAUGCUUUACUUUAUCUCUUGCGCCCAUCUUUUGUCUGAUUUCAUUUGCAUGAUGAUAUAAAUGCAGGUUCAUGGAGUGAAUCUGGCAGGCCCACUAGCAGGAUAUGACAGUCAUAUGUAAGGUGAGAGUUUAAAGGUUGAAUAUUCCAUACUGGGUUAUUUUUGGGUAUGCGCUUUCCAUUCAUAGUUUUGAGUUUGAAAUUUGUUGAGGAUUUAAAUUGUGAAUGGAUAGCUCAACUAAAGUAUGCGAAACCCCAUUCAGUUUGAGGCAAUAAAUAAGCUCUCAUUUCAGCAAAUUUGCUUGCCUUGGUAUGUUAAUGCCUCUAGAUUUUAAUCAGCUUGUUCUUGAGCUGUAAUUUUAGAAACUAUUUUUUUUUUUUGCAUUUUUGUUUUUAUAUCCUAGAACCAUUGAAGCCAUAAGUGUCUUGACAUAUAUUUUGGCCAUAUGUAAAAUUCCUCCAAGCUUCUAGAAUACUAUAUUUCUUUUUAGCUUGGAAUAGGUUCAAAUCAUGUACCUAUUGCUAUGUCUUUGCACUAAUAGCUGCUAUCGUCGGUGCUAUAUUUGACCGUCUUUGUAUGUUUGAAAUUAGGAGACCUAAAACAUUUUUAGCUUACCAUGGCUACUCUAAUCAGUCAUAAGGGUUACUGCCUACUUUUAUUUUUUAUGUCCAGAAACAGAUUGCUUUAGCUUAGGCAUUGAAAUAAUUAGUGAAGUUGUUACGCGCAUAAUACUGACAGCCUAUGGUUUGAAUGUAUUAGUGCCCAUCGACGGUCCAGGUAACCCACCAACCGACAAGGCAAAAUCAGUUCCAACACAUGAAUUUUGCACCAAGUCUUACUUGUUUUUGUAGUAUCCAGGUUGAUUGGAAUAAAUUGAUUGCAGCCAACUAACAUAAAGAGGGUUCAGUUCUUCAUUGGGGGUAAAUCCCUUCUUCAAAAUUGCCUAUUGUGUGGUGUAACUGCUGUUGGAUUAAUUACGCCCAUGGCAAGGGUAUGCCUGACAUAUUUUAACUGGAAAUUGCUACUGUGUAGUGGGAACAAAUGAGCUUUAAUCAAAUUAAAUUAUUCUCUUGCAAUUUUGAUGAGAACAAAUAAGCAGCCAUCAGAGGGAGCCUUCUAGUAAAACAUAUCUACUUCCAAGCUGCACACCAUUUUUUCAGACUAUAGACCGUGUUUUCAUUGCACUCACGUAUUUUAUACUUUCUGGUGUGCAUUGCAAUCCCGCCCCUUCGUAUAGCUAGCUGGUAUUGAUGUAAUCUGUGUUGAUAAUAACGUUCCAGUUUUUUGCUUAUUGGUUGACUCUUGGCAGUUUCUUUUUUCUUUUUUGCAGAAAUGGAUGGUUCUUCCAGCUUCAUGACAUCCAGUAUCUACAUAUGUGCCCAAGGUUGGAAAAAACGCAAGCCAAGCAGGCUGUUGGCCUUUGCGACAGUUUUUAUUAUCAGAGUGUAUGUAUGGUUAUUCUGUGUGUAUUGAUAUUAAUUUAGGGCAUAUAAUUAAGUGAACUAUCAUCUACUACCAUUUGACAUAUCAAUGCAAUAUGUCAUGCUUGAUCGUGUAGGCAAUUUCUUAUUUGCCCUGCCUAGACUUUCACUCAAGGCGAGGCGUUCAGCCAUUACUUAGCACCUAAGCGUGCCUAAGUGGCUUGUAAGCACUGUUUUUUCCAACAAUGUAUGCGCCUGGCUUGUAAGCACUGUUUUUUCCAACAAUGUAUGCGCCUAUUUUUUCUAUCGUAGACCUGAGACAACCGUUUCCACCAAGAUCCAGCAAGAAGUGGAAUGAAUGGGCUGUGACCAAUAUCGAAACCUACUCGUAAAAAUCUAAAGAACACGAUCAAUAAAUCAGUUUAUACUGACACCGACGAUAAAAAUGAAGAACACGAUAAUCAGAUUAUAC
This 2448-nucleotide long non-coding RNA is filed under the name Hordeum vulgare. Its description in RNAcentral is "long non-coding RNA (HVUL_LNC011429)". The record is from RNAcentral. Lineage: Eukaryota; Viridiplantae; Streptophyta; Magnoliopsida; Poales; Poaceae.